GAGGGAAAAAUCCUUGAGAAAACAGGAUGGGGCGUUGAUUUUGCCUGGACAAGAGUCCGGCUCGCCCACGCCCAAGCAAGAAGAAGGGGGAGGUGACUGACGGGUGGGGUCGGAAUGUCAACGAGGGAGAGGAGGGACUGACACGCGGUUGACUCGGCCAUCGGGCCGAGAUGCUAGGCCAUGUGGCCAAGGGAGAAGGAAGGGGCGCGCACCAGGCCGAGUGAGAGAGAAGGAGCUGGGGAGCGUAGAAGGGGAAGAGCUGGGUUCUUGCGGGGGGGGGGGGAGAAAAAGAGGGAGAGGAAGGAGUUGGGCCUUCGGGCCAGAAAGAUGGAGGAGAUGUUUUUUCUUUUUAUUUCUAUUUUCCUUUAUUUUAUUCCAAAGCCAUUUUCAAAACCAUUUUAAAAAUCACUUGAAUUAUUUUUGAACUUUAGUAAAACCACUCAGCACAAUAAAUAAAAUGCAGAAGCAUGAGUGCACAAAAAUGUUGCUAGGUCCCAUGAUGAAUUUUAAUUUAAAUGAAAAAUAUUAUUUCUCUAUAUUUCAUGAGCACAAACAUACAAAAUUAAAUCAUUUUCACCUAUUUCAAAAAGGAGUAAAUUUUAGGGUGUUAUAGCGCUGCUUAUCUAGCUCCUUGUCCAAGUCUGCCGUCGUCUUGUGGCAUUUUCGUGGAGUCUCAGCUGCGGCCAUGGUGGACUUUGGGGCUUCCUUUGGGGGAUGAAUUUGACCUUCAUCGGAUGAGCGUGAACCCUGUUGACACUUCUUAACGCAACCACCGGAUAUCGGCGACGGCGCCAGAAGUGUCCUGGUAGGGUAACUCUAUUUACUAUUGGAUAAUUCCGCAAGCGCACAGAAUGUACCGCUGUAGCACUUCACCAAGGAGUAUUCCAAGGUAUCGUAAUUUAUAUUUUCCCAAGGGAAAGCGGC
This 924-nucleotide long non-coding RNA is filed under the name Sorghum bicolor (sorghum). Its description in RNAcentral is "long non-coding RNA (SBIC_LNC003275)". The record is from RNAcentral. Lineage: Eukaryota; Viridiplantae; Streptophyta; Magnoliopsida; Poales; Poaceae.